GUGUGCGUGUGUGUGUCUGAUCGUUCUCAUACGUUCUGUUUAUAAUCUGUAUUCAGUUUCAUGAGGUUCAGAGCUCCACACAAUAACAUCCAGGUGGAUUUCAGCAUCAGACCUCCAGACAUCUGCCUGAAACUUGUAUUGCAUCACAAUCUCUGACUCUGAUCCCACCGGCUGUAGGCAACAGAGCAAUGAAGGCAUGCAUUUUCUUACACCUGCAAGGCUGUUCCUUCCCUAAAACCCCACAGAGAAGAACUUCAGCUCAGGCACAUUUCCAUAAAUCGAGAGAGAGAGAGAGAGAGAGAGAGAGAGAGAGAGAGAGAGAGAGAGAGAAUAUCAGGAAAGAAACUGCUCAGGAGGAGACGCCCGACAGAGGAGGCCAUUAAAAACCCUUAUGCAACACCUGUCAUCUGUACAACACAGAGCUUUUUCACACUUUUUUGUAGUAACUUACCCAACACUGGUGUCAGUUCACCUGUAGCGUGUACUGUACGGGGUCUUGACACAGCACGCGUGGACACCUGUCAUCAUACCCUAAGUGUUUGCAGUAAUUGCGACUGCAUUAGCAUUAGGGGCUCACAGCAGACCCUCAGAACGCUGCAUAUCAUUACAGGCAUGCUCUCCUGGGAUAUCGCAACACCCUCAUCUGAAUUCAGAAUGCACAGUCAUACUGUAUUUUCUUCAAGUGCUGGUUUUAUAACACC
Molecule: long non-coding RNA, 701 nt
Organism: Triplophysa rosa
Lineage: Eukaryota; Metazoa; Chordata; Actinopteri; Cypriniformes; Nemacheilidae
Exons: 4
Source: RefSeq, a predicted model, not a curated record